GAAUCUUCCACAAUGGACGAAAGUCUGAUGGAGCAAUGCCGCGUGAGCGAAGAAGGUUUUCGGAUCGUAAAGCUCUGUUGUGAGGGAAGAACAAGUACGGGAGUAACUGCCCGUACCUUGACGGUACCUCAUUAGAAAGCCACGGCUAACUACGUGCCAGCAGCCGCGGUAAUACGUAGGUGGCAAGCGUUGUCCGGAAUUAUUGGGCGUAAAGCGCGCGCAGGCGGCCUUUUAAGUCUGAUGUGAAAGCCCCCGGCUCAACCGGGGAAGGUCAUUGGAAACUGGGGGACUUGAGUACAGAAGAGGAAAGCGGAAUUCCAAGUGUAGCGGUGAAAUGCGUAGAGAUUUGGAGGAACACCAGUGGCGAAGGCGGCUUUCUGGUCUGUAACUGACGCUGAGGCGCGAAAGCGUGGGGAGCAAAC
This 422-nucleotide ribosomal RNA is filed under the name uncultured bacterium. RNAcentral describes it as "bacterial SSU rRNA". It matches the Rfam family "Bacterial small subunit ribosomal RNA", at positions 359 to 773 of the family's 1533-position model. The record is from RNAcentral.